Molecule: ribosomal RNA, 253 nt
Filed under: uncultured bacterium
Lineage: Bacteria
Description: partial 16S ribosomal RNA
Rfam family: Bacterial small subunit ribosomal RNA
Source: RNAcentral
UACAGAGGGGGCAAGCGUUAUUCGGAAUUAUUGGGCGUAAAGGGCGCGUAGGCGGCCUGGCAAGUGGAUGGUGAAAUCCCUCGGCUUAACCGAGGAACUGCCAUCCAGACUGCUUGGCUUGAGACCGGGAGAGGUGAGUGGAAUUCCCAGUGUAGCGGUGAAAUGCGUAGAUAUCUGGAGGAACACCGGUGGCGAAGGCGGCGUCCUGGACCAAUACUGACACUGAGGAGCGAAAGCCAGGGGAGCAAACGGG